UUAAAAUCUUAUUAAUAAUAGAUUUAUUCUCUCGUGUCGAUAAAUACGAUAUAAUAUGUCGAGCGUCGACGCGACACAAGAAACGAAAACAAACGGUUUAUCAUUGUUAUCAAAAUAUCGAUUUAACAGAGUCGUUUUCGAGACACGGAACAGAACGGACGCGUUGCUCGACGCUCCUCGCAAGAAUAUUAUACUGAUUGGACAAUUUCAUCUACACGAAGAGGCCAAGAAAUAACUUGAGGAAAAGCUGAAUUCGAAUUUCCUUAAUUAUUUAUCCAAUUAAAUACAUUUCCCUCAACGAUUUCUUCCAACACGAAUUGCUUCGAAAAAACUCGAUCACAUUUCCUUAUCCUCGAAAGAAAGAAAGAAGAAGAAAAAAUUCUCAAACAUUCCCCCCUCCAUUAAUUCCAAUCUCUCGAUGUCUUAAUAACAACCUAAUUGCGCAACAACUGAAAUCUAGAUGAAAUCUCAACUGGCCUCAACUGGUUGCAUGCCUUUUCAAUCUCGUCUCGAACACGUAUAGCAAUAUUUAACCAAGAUUAUCAGAGAGUCGGAGCGAGGACAGAGGCCCCUGUUAUUCCGUAUUCACGUUAACUGGGGACGGAAAUGGCCGGUCGUAAGGUCGAUUACACCCCUCGACCCUCCGCUUCUCCAAAGGAGAAGACAACGUUGAUACGGGAACGAUAGCGGUGUGGAAAUCUAAUUGAAGUGGGCGUAGACUGUAAUAGCCCUGGUUGUACGAGGGACAACCACGCGAAUGCCUCGUUCAAGACGCAUCGCCCGCCCCCCGAACAUUCCUAAGAAGAUUCGAGUAGUCGUCGGCCAAUUCAACGCGACAACGUGCAUAUCCUAUUCGCCAGCCCUUCGUUUCCCCCCGUUCUUCUUCCCGUGGGAAUAUACGAGGGCGACAACUCGUCGCUUCGACUGUGGUUCCAGGGAAUGGAUUUAAUAAAGGAGACGUGGGUGCAGACGAAAUCGGCGCGGAGGACGGAUAGCGGAAAAAGCGGAAGUCGUAAAUUGUCUCGGAAAAGGAUCGGUGCUGUAAAACCCGGCGGAGGAGGAUUUUAUCGAUUCAAUAUCUCUCUUUUCCACGAUUGGACCGGUGGAAACGCCGGUUACAAAGAGGCAGAGGACACGAUCCCGCAAAGGGGAUAUUCGGAAAAGUUACAGGCCGAGCUUAAACUUAAGCAGAAAGGCGCAAGAUCUAUGUGCCCGUGUACAAAGGAGAGUGUGCUAUUAAUCCUUAUCAAUUGUGACUCACGCAGCGGGGGAAAUGUAUCAUUUCGUAUCAACGAAGAUAAACUUAUUCGAAAAUGUAACACGAUUUAUUAAUGUUAUUUAAAAUAAUAUCAAUAUCUUUCAACGGACAGAAAAAGAGAUAUCACGAAUUUUAUAAUUAACUUGUAAUAAUCACAUUUGUUAUUACAGAGAAAAUUUAUUAACCGUAUUAAUCUACAAUGCCAAUUCUUUCCAAGUUUUAUCACUGAAUGUGCAAAGAAAUCGUGUAAAACAUUAACAUUAUCUUCGUUUUUCCGAUUCCACAAUAAUUCCUGAUGACGCUAUAACAAGAAGGAAUAAAAAAGAAGGUAGAGAGAAUUCGAUUCCAUUAUAAAAAAAAUUUAUCCAAGAUAUCAUCUAGGAUGCGCAUUGUCUAGAAGGCAGAAACCGUGUAAUUGAGGUUAGGAAGGGAGAGUAAGUGUCGCAGUAACGGCAACGAUUCCCAGUUACCAAGAUUACGUCCGCCAGAGCGAGUUAAUCAGCCAAUGAGCGGGAACAGAAGCGGAGAGCUAUUUAAUAGAAAGGAAUCCUCGGUUGUAAAAGAUAAAGAGGCAUGAAAGGAUGGGAAGAGGACGGGAAGGGACGAGUGGAAGACGGUCUCUCGAACGUUGGAACAACUAAUGAACCGUAUAUUCCCAUCCGGGUCUCGUGAUUCCUAUUGUGAAAUAGCCUGGUGGACAUGGCCGCCUCCUAAAAGAGGAGAGGCAGGCAAAGGAGGAUCUGAUGAAAGAGAUUGCUCUCCUAUCUAUCUUCUUGUCUUUCCCCAUUCAUCUGAGCGACCGUUGGUCGGGGGUGGCACGCGACUCCAGUGAAAAAAAAAAGAAGAAGGACCAUUUUGGGCACAAUCCGGAUUUUCAUGCUCGAAUAAUUGUUAACUCAAAGGAAGUAUAAAAGCUCCCUGUGAGGGAACCUCUUCCUUUCUCGAUCCAAAUCUUAUCCGGGAUCGAGACGAUUGGAUGGACGAGAUCCAAUAACAGAUACAGAGAUGUACAAGAGUAUCGUGUCGGUUUGAAGUUUUGUAGAGGGUCAUCCUGAUCAUCGAUUCAGGAAAAACAACAUCCUCUUUCCCAGCCUGCAUAGACCGAGGCGAGCAAAGAAAUACGUGCCUAGGCAGUCAAUUAUUAUCCACGCGGGUAAACGUGGCCGUCAAAACGACAAAUAAAAGAGGAGUAAAGUACAAGCGAGCACAAUGGAGCGUGGAAAAGUAAGAGCUGACUCCGAGAGGAAGGGAGGGCGAGAAGGGAGGUCUUCCCUGCCAGAUGUAUUUCACACAUUAACGACUUUGGUCACGGUGUGUCACUGCUCUGGAUAUCCAGUGACAUCUGGUAGGCCGUCCCUAUAAUGGAACAUUGGAAACCUCUGGCUGAUCGUGCCGUGGAACAAGCUUAAGGGUGGUUGAGAGAAAAUUGACGGUGUCGCCACCACACCGGGAUUAAGUGAAACUGAGAAUCGCCGUGUAAUUUUUUCGGACUAGAAACCGGGACACUCUCUAUUGUACUCGUCGAUCUGACUGGCGACGAAUCGGGCGGUGCUUGCGGUUGAAAGGUAGAAAAACCCUCCCGGGCAUUCAUCAAAGCGCAAUUUUUACCCACCUUUGUCAACCGAACGUUCGACAUUGAAUAUAGAGAUCGAUGAACAGUUGAAAGGUAUUGGUAACGAAUUUGAAAAAUAUCCCUUCUCUUUUAACCGUUCUGUUUCCAAUUGUAGUUAAUAGAACUGGUGAGGUGAUAUAUCGAUCGAUAUAUUGGAUAUUGGUUAUAUUGUCAUUAUAUUACCAUGAAUCCAAAAAGCUUUAAAUCUCCAUAUAAAGGGAGAUCUCCAUUUGUAAUUAUCCAAAUUGAUUGAUAUAAGUUAUUAUACCAUUGAACGUUAUAAGUAAUUGUAAUUAUUGGAACUUUAAUACUCAGUGAUACAGUGUUGAUUAUAAUUAUCUGUGUACCAUUGCAUGGCCCAUAAAUAAUUACAAGUGAAGCGUGGUGUUAAAUAUUCAAAGUUGUAGGAGAGAUGAUUAUAUUAUGCUGAAAAUGGUGAAAAACAUUUCAAUUUAUAAUUUUCCACUGGUGUGUUGCAAAAUUUGCUGUUGACUAUAAUCAUCCACAGCGCUGAGCACUCAUUGUGUAUGUACUACGGAUGCCAUCAGUCAUCUUGCUCUAAGCACUCGUGUAUACAGGUGACUGUAAUCACCCAGCGUUAAGCACUCGUUGGAUAACACGGGUAAUUAUAAUUACUACAAGUUUGUAAGUACUUUCUACAACAUCAUCAGAUAUUAUAAUCAUUUCUACGAAUUUGUAAUAACAUUUUUAAGAGAUUUUGAUAACACUAACAAAUUAGGCGAGGAAAAUUGCUUAUUUUCUUCGAUUAAGUAAAUUUAAUUAGGAUUAAAUUUCUUCAUUUUUUACUCUUGUGUGUAAAGAAAAGGAAAAUUUUCAAAAAAGAGGAUUAAGAAAAUAUUUUCCUUUUCUUUCUUCUUCUUCUUCUUUUUGCAAGAAAAUAUUCUCGCAUAAUCUAUUAUGUAUGAAUAGAACUUAAACUUCAACUUGAUAUUCGUUAGAGGAUCCGAAGUCGUUCUUUCUCAAGAGGAUAACGUUCUACUAGUUCACCAUAGAUUCUUAUGGGAAUUGCUGAAGUACGAAUUCAAUGGUGAAGUCUCCUACCUCGUUCGUUAUGCUCUUAAGAGAUCAACUUUCCAGGAUUAUAUCGUUAUUCUAACUUAGUCUCAAGAAAUAAAGACGACGAUGAACCAACCAAGGAAUAAAAGUUUAAUCGAUAAUGCAUCAAAUCUACCACCUAUUUUAUAAUAAGAUAAUUUUCAUUAACAUUCAAGUUGAAGAAUUUAAAUAAUACCAAUUAUUACGUAUAUAAAUAAAUUGGUAUCAAUUACUCUGCAGAAGUGGAAGAAAAAAGGAAUCAAGAACAAAAAAUGCAAUGUCAUCGAAACCAAAACCCUGAUACACGAUUAUUCUCUUUUUCUUCAUUCUAAAUGGUCACCGUGUACAACCCAAGAUCAUUUAUCACCCCAUAAAACAUCUUGUUAGCUUGGUCACGAAUAAAAUACAAGGAACAAUAUUUCACCAGAUAAAAUCUAUUGCUUCUAUUAUGUUAUACUAAUACUACAAUAAAACGAUCAUUAAUAGUAAGUACCUUAUCCCUUCAUUACAUAAUUCAAAUAUUUAAUUUCUUGCUUAACGAUCAAAUGAAAAAAAACAAUAUAUUCAUUGCAUUACAUUAUUAAAAGGAAGAUUCAAUUUCAAUAUAUCUUCACAUCCAUCCUCAUUCGAUCGUAAAGUAAAAUAGAAUGUCUCCAGAUAAUUUCUAAUCAACAAUAAUCACAAAUCAGCCUCCACGCCGCGACCAAAAUCGAUUUCUCUCGCGAGUUCUCAAGUGCCCUUUUUCUCGCGAGGACGAAAGAGGGUUUAGACCGAUCGACAAAGCGGACAAACAAAGCGCGCACAGUUUUGCAGAAUGUAAUUCGAAGCGUCAAGGGAGACGAAAACCUGUAAUAACCAGCGAAAGAAAACGUUAUAAGGGUGCAAUGUUAUUUACAACCCUUUCUUUCUACGCUGCGAACUGCGGCGUACCGAUACGACGAGACUCGCGCCAUCUGUCGUGGCGUUUUUCAUGCGCGAUUUUUCGCGGAGAGAAAAGGAAAAAAGGGGGGGAGAAGAAAAAGAAAGGAGACAGAAAACGUUUCUCUCUACAAAGGAGCAUCGUUAUUCUCUCCCCCCCUCCCGUUGUUUUGUUGCCUACGAAUUUUCCCAUCAGGCCCGUACAUUAUGUUUUUUUCCAUUGUGUUUUUGGCUCGACGGGAGUAUCGCGUGCCACAGCGGGGAAAUUUAUCGUUCUGUUCAACCGCGAACCGUUUAAUGCCGGAAAUUUAUCGACAAUGAUGAUCUUGUUUGCACGUCGAUAAACUUGAUUUUUCGAUUAUAACGUAUUUUCCCUUUUUUUUUUUUUUAUUUUUUUAUCGAUGGACAAUUGAUCGGUCCAUUGAGGGGUUGAAAUGAUGAUGGACGGAGGGAUGAUGUUUCUUUGAAAAAUUAGUUUAUUUUUCGAAUAUUUAAAUGGAUAAAAUUUUACGAACAAUCUAAAUUUCCCAGUGGAAAUAUUAUGAAUUGUUUCAUCCUGGAAUUGUUCAUCAUUAAUAUUAUAAUCCUACAUCUGAUUUCCAUUUAAAAUAAUUACGGACGGUACAAGUGUUCGUAAGUAUCGUAGGGUAUCAUUUAACUCGAAUAUUUUGCAAUUUCCUCCAGUGAGUCACGAAGUCGAUCCCCGGACGCGCAGACGAAAGUUUCAUAACGAUUAACCAGACGGUUAAAGUUGAAGCCGCCUCUCUGGAGAGGCACACGAGUUUAUUAAGUAGAAGUCUGGCUUCAAGGCUAGGAGGAACGGUAGCGGAAGAAGAACGAGAAAUGGAUAUUCGCGAUGUUGGGAACGCGACAGAGGGAUCAAAAGGGUAACGAGAAGCGAUGGGAUGAUGGAAGCGAAGGAGGCGUGGGAUAGUGAAAAGUAUGUGGAAAGAAUGGGCGACAAUUUCGUGAAAUGUUUAAAAUAUUUGAAGAUUUUUUUUUUGAUAGAAUAUUGUUCUAUUAAAAAAUAUCGAAAGGAAUUUUCGAAAUAUUUAAAAUAUCAAUUUUGUUUAAUGAGAAGGGAUACGUUGUAAAUAGAUUUACGACGACUUCGUAAUCGAAUGAAAGCAGAAUGAUGUCAUGCAAUCAUGAUCUUUACGACCGUUCAUCUUUUAUCUAGUUGAUUCAUAACAUUCUUGGAUGAAUAAUCCAUUAGAGUGUCACCAACGUUUCAAACAAAAGCGACUCAGCCAGCAAUACAUCAUACAAGUGCUUUAUUUCAAUGGGUAAAUCCCAUUGCGAGAUUGAAUGCUCAAACGAGAAAUUUACAGAAUAUUUCGACGAAUGGAAUAACACGUCACAGGGUAUUUAAUCCUAACAAUUAAAUACCAAGUUAACACAAAGGAAAACGAUUGCAUCUUUAUACCGAGGAAAUCUUAUUUCUGAAAGGAUAUAGAUACAUCUAUUAAAUCCCUUCGUAACGAGAUAGAAUAUGCAGAUAUCAUUCUUGCUGUAAUACUGGAAAACAAUUUUCCAAGAGAUAUCGAAUGUAUAAAGAAACAUUCAGGGAAGAAGAGGAGUCAUAAACAUUGUUGAAUGUUAUUUAUUUCCUUUCGAUCGAGAUCAUGGAGGUAUCAUGGGAUACACACAAAUAAAUUUUAAAUCAGUAGAGUUGUAACUGGACCACGUAAGCCAUUAUAAAUUAAUUUAACCAGAACUGUUAAAUAUAUAUAAUGUAUCGAUAACUACUAUUUCCUGUCUAUUUCCUGUUAAAAUUAAUCAUAUCUGUUUUCAGGAAUUCAAUUAAGCCAAAAGGAAAUUAUAUUUUUUCUAAAUUCGUCUAAAUUACCAUCAUAAAAAAUUCCAUCCACUUUCACGUUCAAAUAUAAUUCCUUCCUUCAUUCUAAGUUUUCAUAUUCUAAUUUUCUAACAGUAUCCGGUAUUAGAUCAUAGGAUUUAACAAUCUUUCAUUAACAAACCGAUUGUUACAAUCAACCACACUGUCAAUAAUCAUUAUACAACAGCGCAAAUUGAGGACAACAAUUCAUAUAUAAUCUAGCAUUCAGAUCGACAAUAUUGCACACAUGCAAGUAUUCUGAAAUUCUAUUUACUUUUCGCAUUCAAACAAUUGCUCAAUAUUAAUUUGGCAAAUAAUAUUUGCGAUUAGAAUCGUGUUUCAAUACAAUUACCUCGUGAUUUAUAACAUUGGAAAGAAAACACAUGAUUCAAUCGAUGUUAUAUAACAAAUACUGAAACAUUAUCGGGAGAAAGAAGUUCGAUUAAAAUAAAGAAGAGGGCAGUGCGUACGCAUAAAGAUGUAAAAUCAAAUAUGGCCGCUAGAAAAAUUUGAUAAAACACUAAUAAAGAUUUUCAAGUAUGUAUCCAAUUUAUGUAUGGCCGAUUUUAAUAAAAUUUAUGUAUGAUAUACUUUCCAAUAAAAUAUUUCACAAGUGUUUCUUUCAAAUCCCAAAAUCUAUUUUGAAGGGAUGAAAACAAUUCUUCAAGUUACGAGGUGGAAACAUAUUUCAUGGAAUGUUAAAUUUAAGGAAAUAAUUGAAAUAUAACAAGGAGUUGUUUUAAAAAAAAAAAUGUUUGAAACAAAGAAUUUCUUUUUUGUUAAAAUUAAUCAACCUGAAACUACCAUUUUCAGUAAUUAAAUUCUUUCCGUUAUAUUUAAAAAUCUAACAAAUAUUCAUAUCUCCUAUCAUAUCCACUAUCAUAUUCGCCAAUCAAAUCGAUCGAUUUUUCAAUCUACUCGAAAUUUCUUUCGAUAUAGCAACGUUUCGCAAACAAUCGAUCGAAAAAACAAUUUUCACCUGUAAACACGUGAGUGACGAUACAUCGUCACUAACCUAAUUCGCGAGUGUAAAACUCUUUAGGGGGACAGAGGCAGCGCGGUACAUAUUGUGUGUCGCGUUACGCGUUCAUAUGUGUUUGCCUUGUCGAGGAAGCAAUCAGUUCCAUCUACUGGCAACGUUUACAUGGAUCGUUUACAGCCCUCUUGUGUAGCUUUUGGCGUGCCAGGUAUUCCGAUACUCAUGCAGAUAUCCUACGUUAUGUUAUAUAUAUAUAUACAUAUAUGCGUGACUAUCGUUGCGAAUUUCAAGCCGCCGUUUCUACGCUGUUCUGUUUAGCCCUGACUCAACUUAUCUCGAAGCUAUCGGUUAUGCUCAUGCUUCACUGCUAUUGCAUAUUGUAAUUAAUAGCAAUAUGUAAUCGAUUAUGUAAAGCAAAAAAGAGAAUGUAUUGCAAAGCAAAUUAUAUAUAUUUAGAAAAUAUAAAUUCGAUAUUUCUAAUAAUUAAACUAUGGAUGAACAGAAGAGAAUUUAUAAAAAUUACAAGCAAACAGAUGGUGCUUUGCUUCUGUUAGAUUAUUAAUAAAAUAUAAAUUCGAUAUUUCUAAUAAUUAAACUAUGGAUGAACAGAAGAGAAUUUAUAAAAAUUACAAGCAAACAGAUGGUGCUUUGCUUCUGUUGGAUUAUUAAUAAAAUAUAAAUUCGAUAUUUCUAAUAAUUAAACUAUGGAUGAACAGAAGAGAAUUUAUAAAAAUUACAAGCAAACAGAUGGUGCUUUGCUUCUGUUGGAUUAUUAAGAAGAUACGUAUGUGCAAUCUUUUAAAAAAAGGAAAUUAAAUAGAAUGGGCUAUCAAUCUCUCAGUAUCAAAUGAAAUACAAGAAUAUUACUUUCUACAUUUUCAACGAUGAAAUAUUAAUUCUGAUUCCUUCAGAAUGAUUCAUAAGUUUUUUGAAAUAUUAUUUUUACAUUUGAUCAAAUUUUGAAAAACAUUUUAAAGUUUUUCCUCUAUUCCUUGGAAUAAAAAUUCAAACGAAGUCACACGAGGAGAAGGAGAGGGGAUUAAAGUUGAUGGAAUCGAAGGAGAGAAGCGUCAUGAAAGAAGAAAAAAUUGAAAGGAAUAAUUUGAUAUAUAUAUAUUCACUUUUCAAAAACAAUCUUCCUUUUUUCCUUCCCAACAUGUAUCUCCAGUGUGAAAAUGCGUUGGGACGUGUUAAUAUUUAUAACUGUACCGUGAAAUCGGUGCCGCGCGCAAAUAUACAGCUGAUCUUGAAUUCUUUUGGCAAAAGUGCCUCAGAAGAAAUGCAAAUUUCACGUAGCGACCUCGGACACACUCGGCCAGAAUCGUGAACAACUCAAACUGAAACUCAAAUAUAUCUCGAAACAGAAAGCUGUUUUACACAUUGUACGAAACACGAAGCCCCAAGUUGCAGCCACAAUGAAAAUUUUCCUCAUGGAUUUUGUCCAUGCGAAGUAAAUCCAUCAUUUGAU
This is an RNA transcript of Apis mellifera (honey bee), 9128 nucleotides long. RefSeq lists it as uncharacterized. Lineage: Eukaryota; Metazoa; Arthropoda; Insecta; Hymenoptera; Apidae. The record is from RefSeq and is a predicted model, not a curated record. The transcript is spliced from 7 exons.